RNAcentral lists this long non-coding RNA (249 nucleotides) under Setaria viridis. RNAcentral describes it as "long non-coding RNA (SVIR_LNC003578)". Lineage: Eukaryota; Viridiplantae; Streptophyta; Magnoliopsida; Poales; Poaceae. The record is from RNAcentral.
GUUGGGGGUGUGGUUUGUAUGUGGGCCGGUUGCCAUUGACUUUGACACCGCGUCUCUUCCUUUCCUUUCCUUUUCUUCUUAGGAAUUCCUUUUCCUUCGUUUGAAGUCAGUCAAAGUAUGCACGCUCCCUCCGUCCAAAAAAUAAGUUAUUCUAUAUAUAUAUUUAUCUUAAGUCAAAUUUUCUUAACUUUGAUUAAAUUUAUAGAGAAAAGUAUCAAUAUUUAUGACAUCAAAUAUUAUAUUAUAAAA